GACGAACGCUGGCGGCGUGCUUAACACAUGCCAGUCGAACGGAAAGGCCCCUUUGGGGGUACUCGAGUGGCGAACGGGUGAGUAACACGUGAGUAACCUGCCCUUGACUUCGGGAUAACUUCAGGAAACUGGGGCUAAUACCGGAUAGGAAUCCUUGCUGCAUGGUGGGGGUUGGAAAGCUUCGGCGGUUUUGGAUGGACUCGCGGCUUAUCAGCUUGUUGGUGGGGUAGUGGCUUACCAAGGCUUUGACGGGUAGCCGGCCUGAGAGGGCGACCGGCCACAUUGGGACUGGGAUACGGCCCAGACUCCUACGGGAGGCAGCAGUGGGGAAUAUUGCACAAUGGGCGGAAGCCUGAUGCAGCAACGCCGCGUGCGGGAUGACGGCCUUCGGGUUGUAAACCGCUUUCAGCAGGGGCGAAGCUUGUGGUGACGGUACCUGCAGAAGAAGCACCGGCUAACUACGUG
RNAcentral lists this ribosomal RNA (465 nucleotides) under uncultured bacterium. Its description in RNAcentral is "partial 16S ribosomal RNA". It matches the Rfam family "Bacterial small subunit ribosomal RNA", at positions 28 to 507 of the family's 1533-position model. The record is from RNAcentral.